GCGAACGCUGGCGGCAGGCUUAACACAUGCAAGUCGAACGGGCAUCUUCGGAUGUCAGUGGCAGACGGGUGAGUAACACGUGGGAACGUACCCUUCGGUUCGGAAUAACUCAGGGAAACUUGAGCUAAUACCGGAUACGCCCUUUUGGGGAAAGGUUUACUGCCGAAGGAUCGGCCCGCGUCUGAUUAGCUUGUUGGUGGGGUAACGGCCUACCAAGGCGACGAUCAGUAGCUGGUCUGAGAGGAUGAUCAGCCACACUGGGACUGAGACACGGCCCAGACUCCUACGGGAGGCAGCAGUGGGGAAUAUUGGACAAUGGGCGCAAGCCUGAUCCAGCCAUGCCGCGUGAGUGAUGAAGGCCUUAGGGUUGUAAAGCUCUUUUGUCCGGGACGAUAAUGACGGUACCGGAAGAAUAAGCCCCGGCUAACUUCGUG
RNAcentral lists this ribosomal RNA (434 nucleotides) under uncultured bacterium. RNAcentral describes it as "partial 16S ribosomal RNA". It matches the Rfam family "Bacterial small subunit ribosomal RNA", at positions 29 to 507 of the family's 1533-position model. The record is from RNAcentral.